UUUUGCCACUUUCUACUUCCUAACAUCCCCAGUGACAUAAAUGAUAAAUGCUUCUCCUGUAGCUGUGUGGACUCUGAGUCCAGGAAACGACAAGAGCAACGUCUUCCCGGGGAUGGAGAAACACUGUGCUCUGAACCCCGCCUCGAAACCAGUGGGAGAAAGAGCAUAAGGGACUAUCGUGAUGGAGAAGAACUAGAGGACCAAGCCUCAGGGGGAAAAAAUCAAACACACAUCUUAUUUUAAUGAAAAGGAACAAGUUUUGAAUCAUUCACCGAAAGUCCUGAAACCCUCCCCAUGGCCUGGAGAGUGGAGCUGGUGGCCGUGGGAGCUGGAUCAACGCUGGGAGCUGCUUUUGAGUCUCCCUUUACGCUGGGUGACUUCGUCUUUCCUCCUCAUCUCUGCUGGAGCAUUUCCAACCUCCUGCCACAAAACUCAACACAUGCAGGCAGAAGAGCCUUGGACGGGGGCCACAGACAUCCUGCUCUGUUCCCAAAGCCAGUACUCGGUAGGAAUUUAAUAAACUGUUAAGUGAGUGAAUGAAUACAUGAAUAUUUUCUUUUCAAGAGAUCAGUAAGGUGAAACUAUUCAUACGCAAUUUUAUUUGGGUUUCAAAGUUUAGAUUUGUUUUCUGUUACUUUGCAAACACUUUUUUCUCUGUUGGGUUCCGAAUAAUGGAGAUUAUUUAGUAAUCAGGAAAGGACAGGGAAAUGAAUGUUCCUGACCAUGAGGUUUUUCCUCUGUUAAGCACAAACAAUUCUCAACAAAGGAGAAGAGGUGUAUGGGGACUUGAAUAGAGGUAAGGUCCUUUUUGGAUUUUUUUUUUUA
This is a long non-coding RNA of Condylura cristata (star-nosed mole), 825 nucleotides long. RefSeq lists it as uncharacterized. Lineage: Eukaryota; Metazoa; Chordata; Mammalia; Eulipotyphla; Talpidae. The transcript has 3 exons. The record is from RefSeq and is a predicted model, not a curated record.